Long non-coding RNA from Helianthus annuus (common sunflower), 2325 nucleotides. RefSeq lists it as uncharacterized. Lineage: Eukaryota; Viridiplantae; Streptophyta; Magnoliopsida; Asterales; Asteraceae. The transcript has 9 exons. The record is from RefSeq and is a predicted model, not a curated record.
CCAAUAAUUUCCACCGUCUUCUCUCUUCAUCUUCUAAUUCAACCUACAUAUACUUCGUCCGUUUCUUCAUCUUCUUCAAACGAUAUCUCAUAUUUUUUCGCUGAACCAUAUUGAAAUAUAUUUAGCUCAUGCAAAAGGUGUUUAUGAACUUGAGCAAGGAGUAGCCAGGUUCGAUUAUGUUGUGGGGCUAACCAUCAAAAUCAAUAAAUCAUCCCUCAGUUUAACCGGCAACCCAUCACCAUACCUCUUGCUUGCAAUAACGGUAGCCAUUGUACUCCUUUUUGAUAUAUUUUUCACAAUUAUUGUUGGUUUUUAUUUUGCCAACGAAGGUGGGAUUAUUCUAAAUCAAGGUGCUUUUGGGUCUCAGUUAUGCAGGGUGGGUUAGAUUUUGGUUCAAGACAACUUAUUGGAAGUGGAUUGAAGCUUGAAGCUGAUGUUCGGGUCAUUGAAUCACUUAAAAAGAUGUUGCACGAUUGAAGCUUGAAGCUGAUGUUCGGGUCAUUGAAUCACUUAAAAAAGGUUGCACAACUUCAAUAUGAACGAGAUGAUGAUGAUGGAGGUGGUGUGACCCGGAGGCGAUAUUGACGAUUUUCCAGCAACCUAGAUUUAACAACAUUGAAGAGUGUUUGUGUCACCAGAGAUCCCAAUCUCCCAUCUUUUGUAUGACGAUUUUGACCCAAUAGCGGUUGCCACCCCCACACAGCCUUCCCUCAUGUUGGAAAAAUGGGGAAUUCAAGAGUGCUAUAAGGUAAUGGAUGAUCAUCAAGCAUGGGCACUACUCUGUUGUAUUUUUCUGCAUGCUAGAAUUCUUCAUCUACUUGCAAACAUAUUGAGUUUGGUUUCAUUGGGAUUCGCCUCGAGCAACAAUCUGGUUUAGGAAACUAAUGGAUCUGGCACGGUAUGCAUAUACAUUUCAAGCUGCGUUUGAAUAAAGAAGUCAUCCCGGGUUUAGAAGGUGUAACCUCUUCCUGGACGGGUUACAUAACUCUAAAUCUAGAAUUGUUUAAAGUCUUUUGCUGAGUUUUAUGAACUCAUUUAAAUCAAGUCAAGGGUUGUAACUUAUUUUGUGGUUGUGGUUUUAAGACAAGUAUAAAAUGGGAUUUUUCUAAACUUUAUUAAUGAAUGAAUAUCUCAUGUUUUUAAUCAUAUAGAAUUGUUAUGAUUUGUUGCAAUGGUAUUAAGAAGUCACACCACAUAACCCACGCUUCCGCAAAGCCAGGGUGUGAAAAAAACAUCAUUCUGCAGUUUUCUGCAGACCAGCUUUUUUGUCCGGUUAUUUUGACCGUUUGCUAACCCAGUUAAAAAACGGUUUUAAAAAACAAUUUUAAAACCGGUUCUAAUCGGUUAUAAUCAGUUGCGUAUAUGGGUUUGAAAAAUCGGUUAGUAACCGGAACCGGUUAAAAAAACGGUUUUGGCUUUUGAUGAAAAAAACUGGACCGGUUAUUGAAAAAAAAUACCAGUUUGUACACCUCUUGACCCGAUUGACAAUGGAAUCUAUGUGUUGUUAGCUGGUAUGCAUUGGGAAGCAAAGAUGUUUGAGAAGUCAAUGGAGGCGAGGGAAUUGAUGAGGGUAAGAGGAGUAGAGAAGACCUCCUGGUUGCAGUUCAGUUGAGAUAAUAGCUCUUACCUCUUUUAAUUUCAAAUUGAGUUUAAGUAAUUAGUAACCGCCCUCUCAAUUUCAAAUUGCCAUGAUUGAUAUUUUGCGGUCGGCUUGAGAGGUGGUCUUUGAACUUUGGUAAGAGUUGUGCGCAUAAAGUGAGGUUGAAAGAAACUGUGCCUUGACUGAGAUGAAUGAGAUUUAUUGCUCAACUAGACUUAUACGAACAAAUACGACAACAUCAAAGAAGUCUGCAAUCUUCCAAGAACAAUAUGUUGCACCAAAAGAUGGUUGCUCUGCAUGUAGUACGGUUGCUAGAGGAGAUUAAAAGCCAAUUGUACGGGUGCUAAGAGGAAAUUAAACACGGAGCGUAUAGGUGGCGGAAGAGUGGAAGUUAAGUUUUGGGUAUGAAUCAAGCGAACUGGAGCAAUUUCACAGGGUUGGGCUUUGGCUAAUACGCGUGGGUUUCUUUUUUUCCUGCUGUAUGGUAUUUUUUUGGUUGGUUUGGCUCUGUCUUUUGUUGUUUUGGUGUACUGCACCCCUUAACAGCUGGGUUGUUUCUCGUGGUAAUAAAAUGGUUCACUUGGCUAGCCAAAUAAUAAAAAAAGAAUGACGGAAAGAAGAGCAGAGGCUGGAAAGUACAGGAAUGGGGUCAUAGUUAAUGGGUUUUUUUUAUUAAGUUUUUCUAUUAUGUGUUUUUAAUAGGCUUAUAUAUUUUAGUAAUUUUA